RNAcentral lists this transfer RNA (81 nucleotides) under Ixodes scapularis (black-legged tick). It matches the Rfam family "tRNA". Rfam says of the family: Transfer RNA (tRNA) molecules are approximately 80 nucleotides in length. Their secondary structure includes four short double-helical elements and three loops (D, anti-codon, and T loops). The record is from Rfam by way of RNAcentral. Lineage: Eukaryota; Metazoa; Arthropoda; Arachnida; Ixodida; Ixodidae.
GCAGUCGUGGCCGAGUGUUAAGGAGAUGGACUAGAAAUACAUUGGGGUCUCCCCGCACAGGUUCGAAUACUGUCGACUGCA